UUAAUACCCAAUCCUGACACAGGGAGGUAGUGACAAGAAAUAACAAUACGGGGCUUGAAGUCUUGUAAUUGGAAUGAUGGGAAUUUAAACCCCUUCCAGAGUAUCAAUUGGAGGGCAAGUCUGGUGCCAGCAGCCGCGGUAAUUCCAGCUCCAAUAGCGUAUAUUAAACUUGUUGCAGUUAAAAAGCUGGUAGUUGAAUUUCUGCUGUUUCGUUGUCUGCGUUUGGCGUUUGUCAUCUUUGCUGCUUGGUUGGGUUUCGAUUAUUCGUUUCCCGGCGUUUACUUUGAGAAAAUUAGAAGGCUUGAAGCAGGCUUUUGCCUUGAAUACUUUAAGAUGGAAUAAAUGAAUAAGAAUUUGGUUCUAUUUUGUUGGUUUUAGGAGCCAGAAUAAUGGUUAAUAGGAACAGUUGGGGGCAUUCGUAUUUAAAA
RNAcentral lists this ribosomal RNA (428 nucleotides) under Theileria equi. Its description in RNAcentral is "SSU rRNA". It matches the Rfam family "Eukaryotic small subunit ribosomal RNA", at positions 436 to 903 of the family's 1831-position model. The record is from RNAcentral. Lineage: Eukaryota; Apicomplexa; Aconoidasida; Piroplasmida; Theileriidae.